This is a long non-coding RNA of Phyllostomus discolor (pale spear-nosed bat), 258 nucleotides long. RefSeq lists it as uncharacterized. NCBI's taxonomy places the organism in Eukaryota, Metazoa, Chordata, Mammalia, Chiroptera, Phyllostomidae. The record is from RefSeq and is a predicted model, not a curated record. The transcript has 3 exons.
CAACUGACAGUAGAAGAACUAGAAGCUGAUCUGGGGAUUCCAAAAACUUCUGUGUCUGAGAUUUUGAAGCAGGAUAUUAACAUGAUAUGUGUCAUAGCAAAAUUAAUUCCAUGGCUUCUGCUACAAGAGCAAAAGGAACAUUGUGCUGUAGUUGCUAAUGAUUUGAUUCAAACUGCUGCCAGUGAACCAGACUUCCUCAAGAAGGUCAUAACUUUGAAGGAGACUGACACAUCAUUGUCCUAUGUAUAAUGCUUCUUC